GUGGUUUUAGACGCUUUGUGAUGCAUGAAAAAGCUUGAAAUUGAUUAAAAACACUGAUCACCAAAAGCGCAUUGUGCUGCAAAGAUAGUUCUUACUCUGUAGACAUCUGUAUCUAAUAGUUAUGAAAAACAAAUUGGAAUGUCAACCAAAAGUGCAUUCAUUAAUUUAAUCUUUAUUAAGAACACACAUGAGCAUAAAUAGGCCAAGGCUUAAAAAAAACAAAAAAAGAUUUUGUCCUGCACUUUCUUCCAGUCUUUUUUUCCACUUUUCGGCACUUUCUGCGUGCUUAAAAAUUAUGACAUAACCAUUGUAUAGUUUGACAGUUUAUUUUUUACUUUAGAUUACAUUUGAAGACUGCUCGCCGGUAGAGAUCAGAGAAGUUGAGUGUUCCUGUGUGGCUGGUACAGUGUUGUGCAAUCACAGCGUUGCAUUACUUUACCAGACUGCACACUACUCUGCUCUGAAUUUGACUGCUGUGCCACCAGUACUAAGCUGUACUGAGACGGAACAGAGCUGGCACAAACCAAGGACCAUGGCCGUGUGCGUGACAUGGUUUUUACGUCUGCAAGACCAAAACAGCAGCGCACAGUCGGAAACGGUGUAAGGAGCAAACGUUACAAGGCAGUGCGAGGAGACACACCAGACCCUGAUGUCCUCAGAGUAGCAGAGGUGUAUCAGGACUUUCCAGCAGACCUUGCACCUCUCAUUACUACGAUGGCAAUCAGUGCUGAUGUGCCUUUAGUUGAUUCAGCCUUUGGUAAGGUCCAGGAAGGCAGUCCGUUUGCUUUUCAGCAUCCACUACCAGUCAGCCGGAUAAUAACUCGCCAUGUGGAUGCCCCUCCACCGCCGUCACUGCCUCUUGAUCACUACCAUCUUGAGCCCACCUGUGUCCAGUUUGUCUGCAGCCAACAGCAACAGCUUGAACUGGAGUGUCUUGCGACAACGCUGGAACAGUCCCGCCAAAUUGAGGUUGCCACCAGGGACCAGAGCGCAACAGUUGAAUGGCAUUAUGUCAGGAGGCCCCGUAUUACUUCUUCUCGUUUCCGGGAAGUCUGUCAUGUGAGAGGAGCCACUUCUGCUUUGAGCUUAGCGCAGCGCAUCAAGAAGGGAACAGCAGCCACAGGCGCCAUGAAAAGGGGGCUAGCACUUGAACCAUCGGCUAUCCAGGAAUACUGCAGGAUCAAAAACACCAACUUUUGGCCCUGUGGGUUCGUCAUUCACCCUGAUGCUCCAUGGUUGGGCUCUUUUUCAGAUGGUGUUGUUUUUGACCUGACAGAGAGGCCAACAUUUGGUUUGUUGGAGAUAAAAUGUCCCAAUACAAAGAGCUAUGUGGAUUGUCGCUAUUUAAAAAAGUGUAAUGACACAAUGAGGCUUGCGUCAAGUCACAGCUACUAGUGGCAGGUGCAAGGGCAGCUUUUAAUCACAGGCAUAGAGUGGUGUGAUUUUGUCGUCUAUGCUGAGGAUGACAUUCUUGUCCAACGCAUUUAUCGAGAUCCCAGUGUGUUUGAAACAAUUAGGGCAAAGGUUGACCAUUUUUACCAGUUUCUAAAAUGCCAGGCUUCAGGUCAAACCAAUGUAGGUUUGUUUGGUUGUCUGAGCACGUUAACAUGUAUUUUGUUAUUUUGUGUAUAGCUUAGUAUUUAGUUCAACAAUGUCAUGUUGUCCUAUUUACUUCUGUUCUGAAAGUUUUUCACCAUAUGCCAUGUUGUGGAUUAAGUAGCUUUAAUAGCACAAUAAAAGUUAGUUAUUUGAGUAUUCCAGUUUGUUUAUUGAUCUAAAUUUCCCCAAAAAUGUUUUUUAAUGGAAUCAGUAAUUAAGAAGUAUUGGUUUUAUAAAGUCUUUUAUUUGU
Molecule: long non-coding RNA, 1849 nt
Organism: Fundulus heteroclitus (mummichog)
Lineage: Eukaryota; Metazoa; Chordata; Actinopteri; Cyprinodontiformes; Fundulidae
Exons: 3
Source: RefSeq, a predicted model, not a curated record